AACGAACGCUGGCGGCAUGCCUAACACAUGCAAGUCGAACGAUGCUUUCGGGCAUAGUGGCGCACGGGUGCGUAACGCGUGGGAAUCUGCCCUUGGGUUCGGAAUAACAGUGAGAAAUUGCUGCUAAUACCGGAUGAUGUCUUCGGACCAAAGAUUUAUCGCCCAGGGAUGAGCCCGCGUAGGAUUAGCUAGUUGGUGGGGUAAUGGCCUACCAAGGCGACGAUCCUUAGCUGGUCUGAGAGGAUGAUCAGCCACACUGGGACUGAGACACGGCCCAGACUCCUACGGGAGGCAGCAGUGGGGAAUAUUGGACAAUGGGCGCAAGCCUGAUCCAGCAAUGCCGCGUGAGUGAUGAAGGCCUUAGGGUUGUAAAGCUCUUUUACCCGGGAUGAUAAUGACCGUACCGGGAGAAUAAGCUCCGGCUAACUCCGU
RNAcentral lists this ribosomal RNA (432 nucleotides) under uncultured bacterium. RNAcentral's name for it is "partial 16S ribosomal RNA". It matches the Rfam family "Bacterial small subunit ribosomal RNA", at positions 29 to 506 of the family's 1533-position model. The record is from RNAcentral.